Molecule: long non-coding RNA, 625 nt
Organism: Leptinotarsa decemlineata (Colorado potato beetle)
Lineage: Eukaryota; Metazoa; Arthropoda; Insecta; Coleoptera; Chrysomelidae
Source: RefSeq, a predicted model, not a curated record
UACCUUCCUAAAUCUAUCUAAUAAAGUCCAGCACGUAAUUUGAAGUUGAUUCUUGUACAUUUGUGUAUGUUAUCUACAUUUUCGAUUUCACGGACCGAAGCGGGUAUUGAAGCCACUUUUAUUUAUAUUUUGCAAAGGAACAAUUUUUGACAAAAUCAUGGGUGACAAUGAGAGGGAGCAGGCAUGCCUAGAAAAGAUGAUGCAAGAAUUUAUGAUGGAGGAGAAUGGGGACAGCGUUAUCUAUGAUGAUAGACAAUCGUCUGAAAAGGAAGAUUUAGUGAAAACGAGAGAAAUGGAUACCGAUACUGAACAGGAAGUUUCCGAUAGUGCUGAUGGUGAAAACGAAAGUGAUGAUGGUGAAGAAGAAAAUAAAUGUUUCAUUAUGUAUGAAGAGAUAAGAUAACAAAGAAGAGAAAAAAUGUACCACCAAAAACUGUACGAACCAUAUCUGAAAAUAAAGUUACUCGCCUACCACAAGAUUACCUACAAGAUCACUCAAGGAACCAUUAGAAAUUUGGAAAUAUUUUGUAAAUGAGCAAAUGUUGUUAUUGAUAGUAUAUGUUGGGAUUACUUAGUUUGAAUAGGUUACUGGGAGACCAAUUUGCAGUAUAUAUCAAUAAACCAC